RNAcentral lists this ribosomal RNA (225 nucleotides) under Clostridioides difficile. RNAcentral's name for it is "partial 23S ribosomal RNA". It matches the Rfam family "Bacterial large subunit ribosomal RNA", at positions 564 to 788 of the family's 2925-position model. Lineage: Bacteria; Bacillati; Bacillota; Clostridia; Peptostreptococcales; Peptostreptococcaceae. The record is from RNAcentral.
UUACAAGCUGUGGAAGCACAUUUCUUGUGUGACCGCGUACUUUUUGUAGAACGGGCCAACGAGUUACGUUAAGUAGCAAGGUUAAGCACUUAAGGUGUGGAGCCGUAGCGAAAGCGAGUUUUAACUGGGCGUUCAGUUACUUGACGUAGACCCGAAACCGGGCGACCUACCCAUGAGCAGGAUGAAGCGAAAGUAAAAUUUCGUGGAGGUCCGAACCCACGAGCG